AUUGAACGCUGGCGGCAUGCUUUACACAUGCAAGUCGAACGGUAACAGGCCUUCGGGUGCUGACGAGUGGCGAACGGGUGAGUAAUGCAUCGGAACGUACCCAGAGGUGGGGGAUAACGCAGCGAAAGCUGUGCUAAUACCGCAUGUGAUCUGAGGAUGAAAGCGGGGGACCGAGCAGCAAUGUUUGGCCUCGCGCCUUUGGAGCGGCCGAUGUCGGAUUAGCCAGUUGGUGGGGUAAAGGCCUACCAAGGCGACGAUCCGUAGCUGGUCUGAGAGGACGAACAGCCACACUGGGACUGAGACACGGCCCAGACUCCUACGGGAGGCAGCAGUGGGGAAUUUUGGACAAUGGGCGCAAGCCUGAUCCAGAAAUGCCGCGUGCGGGAAGAAGGCCUUCGGGUUGUAAACCGCUUUUGGCAGGAACGAAACGGUGUCCGCUAAUACCGGGCGCUAAUGACGGUACCUGCAGAAUAAGCACCGGCUAACUACGUG
This 492-nucleotide ribosomal RNA is filed under the name uncultured bacterium. RNAcentral describes it as "partial 16S ribosomal RNA". It matches the Rfam family "Bacterial small subunit ribosomal RNA", at positions 29 to 507 of the family's 1533-position model. The record is from RNAcentral.